CAGUCGCCGCGGUAAUACGAAGGGUGCAAGCGUUAAUCGGAAUUACUGGGCGUAAAGCGUGCGUAGGCGGUGAGUCAAGUCUGCUGUGAAAUCCCCGGGCUCAACCUGGGAAUGGCAGUGGAUACUGGCUCGCUAGAGUGUGUCAGAGGAUGGUGGAAUUCCCGGUGUAGCGGUGAAAUGCGUAGAGAUCGGGAGGAACAUCAGUGGCGAAGGCGGCCAUCUGGGACAACACUGACGCUGAGGCACGAAAGCGUGGGGAGCAAACAGGAUUAGAUACCCGCGUAGUCCCUGUCUCUUAUAC
This 301-nucleotide ribosomal RNA is filed under the name uncultured bacterium. Its description in RNAcentral is "partial 16S ribosomal RNA". It matches the Rfam family "Bacterial small subunit ribosomal RNA", at positions 509 to 807 of the family's 1533-position model. The record is from RNAcentral.